UGAGUAUAACGUGGGUAACUUGCCUUCGAGUGGGGAAUAACCCUCCGAAAGGAGGGCUAAUACCGCAUAAUAUCCGACUCACACAAGUGAGAUGGAUCAAAGGUGGCCUCUGUUUCAUGCUGCCGCUUGAAGAUAGGCCCGCGCCCCAUUAGCUAGUUGGUGAGGUAACGGCUCACCAAGGCUGCGAUGGGUAGCCGACCUGAGAGGGUGAUCGGCCACACUGGGACUGAGACACGGCCCAGACUCCUACGGGAGGCAGCAGUGAGGAAUUUUCCGCAAUGGGCGAAAGCCUGACGGAGCGACGCCGCGUGCGUAGAUUGAAGGCCUUCGGGUCGUAAAUCGCUGUUCGGAGAGGGCGAACUGUCUAUGUGUUAAUACCACAUAGAUUUGACGGUACUCUCCAAGGAAGCCCCGGCUAACUCCGUGCCAGCAGCCGCGGUAAUACGGGGGGGGCAAGCGUUGCUCGGAAU
Molecule: ribosomal RNA, 470 nt
Filed under: uncultured bacterium
Lineage: Bacteria
Description: partial 16S ribosomal RNA
Rfam family: Bacterial small subunit ribosomal RNA
Source: RNAcentral